UACGGAGGUGGCAAGUGUUGUUCGGAAUUACUGAUCGUAAAGGACGCGUAAGCGCCUUGUCAAGUCAGAUGUGAAAUCCCCGGGCUCAACUCUGGAAUUGCAUCUGAAACUGCUUUGCUUGACUCCUGGAGGGGAUAGUGAAAUUCCCGGUGUAUGGAUGAAAUGCGUAGAUAUUGAUAGGAAAACCUGGGGGAAAUGAGGUUAUCUGGACAGUGACUGACGCUGAGGCGCGAAAGCUAUGGGAGCGAACGGCAUUAGAUACCCCGGUAGUCCUAGCUGUAUACGAUGGGCACUUGGUGUUGGGGGUAUUGAGUCGCUCGGUGCCGGAGCUAACACCUUAAGUGUACCGCUUGGGGAGUACGGUUGCAAGUCUGAAACUCAAAGGAAUGGUCGGGGGUCCGCACAAGCGGUGGAGCAUGUGGUUCAAUUCGACGCCACGCGAAGAACCUUGCCGGGGCUCGAACGGUAUCUGUUGCCUGUGGAUACACGGGAUUCUCUUCGCAGACGGUUCUCGAGGUGCUGCAUGGCGGUUGUCAGCUCGUGUCGGGAGAUGUUGGGUUAAGUUCCGCAACGAGCGCAAUCCUUGGCGUUAGUUCCCAUCAGGUUAUGCUGGGCACCCUAAGGGAACUGUCGGCGAAAAGUCGGAGGAAGGUGGGGACGACGUCAAGUCCUCAUGGGCCUUACGUGCCGGGCUACCCACGUGCUACAAUGGCUGGUACAAAGGGUUGCUCAUCCCGCGAGGGGGAGCUACUCCCAAAAAGCCAGUCCCAGUUCGGAUUGCAGUGUGCAACUCGCCUGCAUGAAGGCGGAAUCGCUAGUAAUCGCAGAUCAGUCAUUCUGCGGUGAAUACGUUGGCCGGUGC
This 862-nucleotide ribosomal RNA is filed under the name uncultured bacterium. Its description in RNAcentral is "SSU rRNA". It matches the Rfam family "Bacterial small subunit ribosomal RNA", at positions 524 to 1380 of the family's 1533-position model. The record is from RNAcentral.